UUACGGCCAUACCACCCUGAACAGGUCCAAUCUCGUCUGAUCUCGGAAGCUAAGCAGGGUGGGGCCUGGUUAGUACUUGGAUGGGAGACCGCCUGGGAAUACCAGGUGCUGUAAG
This 115-nucleotide ribosomal RNA is filed under the name Merluccius polli (Benguela hake). The record is from RNAcentral. Lineage: Eukaryota; Metazoa; Chordata; Actinopteri; Gadiformes; Merlucciidae.